UUUGAAAUCCUUCUCUUUUUCGGGUACCCUUGAAGUGUGGUACUUGACUGAUAGCAAUAGGCUGUGGUUUUCGGAACCUGUUCAUCAUAUUUGGCCAAUAGAUAAUACGGGGUUUCCAUACCGGCCUUUCGACCUCAGGUAUUAGCCGUAUUUUAUUUCAUUAAUUGUGAGUUUCCCAUACUGGUCUUUCGACCUCAGGUAUUUGCCACCAUGUGUUGGGUCCGCCGGUCCCUCCCGCGUCCCUUACCUACCCGACCAUCAAUCAAGUACCAUACUCCCAUUUUCAAAACAUAUUCUCUCAUAUCACUAUGACUCAUCAAUCAUUCAAACAUCAUGCUGAACACAUAGCAAAAGUCAUAUUAAAGCACACAUAAUUAGGUUCUUAUGAUGAGCAAAUGAAUGCUUCAACUUACCUCAAAAUCAAUAUGGUUUAUGAAGUGAAAAGAUCAGUCUCAUAUAGGUUGUGCUAGAGUCCUUGAUUAUAGAUGAAUUCAAACUUCAAAACGUAAGAUUUCAGCUAGACAGGUGCAUAACUUGUUCUAGCUCUACUUCUAUGAGUUCUUAUGUUUGAUGUUCUCUUAUGUGAGUAUGGAAGUGAAGAAAUAUGAAGAGAAGCUUAAGGAAAUAGGUCUGGUCGGUUUUUGGAAGAAGACAAGUGAAAU
Molecule: long non-coding RNA, 662 nt
Filed under: Erythranthe guttata (spotted monkey flower)
Lineage: Eukaryota; Viridiplantae; Streptophyta; Magnoliopsida; Lamiales; Phrymaceae
Description: long non-coding RNA (EGUT_LNC001395)
Source: RNAcentral